GCUGGCGGCGUGCUUAACACAUGCAAGUCGAACGGAAAGGCCUGCAGCUUGCUGCGGGUACUCGAGUGGCGAACGGGUGAGUAACACGUGGGUGAUCUGCCUUGCACUUCGGGAUAAGCUUGGGAAACUGGGUCUAAUACCGGAUAGGACAGCUGUUUAGUGUCAGUUGUGGAAAGUUUUUUCGGUGCAAGAUGAGCUCGCGGCCUAUCAGCUUGUUGGUGGGGUAAUGGCCUACCAAGGCGUCGACGGGUAGCCGGCCUGAGAGGGUGUACGGCCACAUUGGGACUGAGAUACGGCCCAGACUCCUACGGGAGGCAGCAGUGGGGAAUAUUGCACAAUGGGCGGAAGCCUGAUGCAGCGACGCCGCGUGGGGGAUGAAGGCCUUCGGGUUGUAAACUCCUUUCGACAGGGACGAAGCUUUUGUGACGGUACCUGUAUAAGAAGCACCGGCUAACUACGUGCCAGCAGCCGCGGUAAUACGUAGGGUGCGAGCGUUGUCCGGAAUUACUGGGCGUAAAGAGCUCGUAGGUGGUUUGUCGCGUCGUCUGUGAAAUUCCGGGGCUUAACUCCGGGCGUGCAGGCGAUACGGGCUGACUUGAGUGCUGUAGGGGAGACUGGAAUUCCUGGUGUAGCGGUGAAAUGCGCAGAUAUCAGGAGGAACACCGAUGGCGAAGGCAGGUCUCUGGGCAGUAACUGACGCUGAGGAGCGAAAGCAUGGGUAGCGAACAGGAUUAGAUACCCU
This 742-nucleotide ribosomal RNA is filed under the name Corynebacterium striatum. RNAcentral's name for it is "bacterial SSU rRNA". It matches the Rfam family "Bacterial small subunit ribosomal RNA", at positions 35 to 788 of the family's 1533-position model. The record is from RNAcentral. Lineage: Bacteria; Bacillati; Actinomycetota; Actinomycetes; Mycobacteriales; Corynebacteriaceae.